GGAAUGGAACUAGCAAUCCCAGCAUGCAACUCUGGGCUACUCUGUGUGAUCGGGCCGCAAGGCCUGCUGGGAACUGUAGUUCUGUAACACUGUGAGGACACCCCUGUAUACCAGGCACGCUGCUGGGGCUUGUAGUACACCACCUGCUUUCUGGCACUUUCCUGGUGCACAUGGUGCAUAUCUAUCAAUAUUAUGCGGCAGGAGAUCUCCCCAUUCCUGUAGGCAGGAACCUACACACCCCUUUAAAGUCAGAGACAGAGUCGUGGUGAAGGUGCUCCCCAGGAACAAGAGCCCAGGAGACUUCACCUAUGGUCCAGAGACAGAGGUCGUAGCAGUUACCCGGACAGCAGUCCUGACAGAGGAAAGUCCUACCUGGACCCAUGCAUCCCGAGUAAAAAAAGGUUCCUAGACCAGACCUAGAGAGGGAAGCAAGUGAUUCCAGUGAGGUACGAACCGGGGCAGACAGCCCUGACCUCCCACCUAGCGAAGAAAGAAGAACAGAAGAAGAUGAGGAACCUGUCCCCUAUCUUUAUCCUGGGGACUAUCUCGAUAGCCCUACUGGCCCUUAUUCACCUCACAAUAUGUGAAGUCGACAUCACACAAACAAAUGGGAUCCCCACCUUGUGGUACAAUUCCUCCAAUACACACGUAGCCACAUACAUCCUUGAUUAUUUCAUGUUCCCUAAACUUGCUGACAACAAACAUUUCAUACAGCAGAAAAGGAAAUCAGGAAUGUCUGAGACAGUAUAUAUUUGUGUUACUGACGAAUGGUACUAUGACAUUAGAUAUUAUGGAUCUAAUUGUAAUUCCUGGGAAGCUGUGGGGUGGAAUACAGGAGCAGAUUGGAAAUAUGGCCCAUCAUUUGCAAAAAAUAGAUAUAGCAAAUAUCCCCAAAACAAACCUUUAAAGCCCCAUAUUGCCACUUCUAAAGAUAUGGUGGCUAUUACUAACCCUACCUUUGAAGACACCCUAGCUAUUGAAACUGGUUUCCCUGACAUUAAUUUUGGUUAGAAUGGAUGAAGUAUAGUGCUAACAAACACAAUAAAAGCAACUGUUAUGUCUGUGGCAAAUCUAGGCCCCACCUAGGUACAGUGCCCCUUAAUAUACCCCUAGAACAAGAAAAUUGUUUUUUUUUUUCAGCCUUUUUAAUGAUCACCGAUGACCCCACUCCUCCCUCUAAUACUCCUGUUAAUCGAAAGAAAAGAGCACUCCCAGGAGGUAGCUUUGACCCCCACGUAUACAUUGAUGCUAUAGGGGUCCCAAGAGGUGUUCCAAAUGAGUUCAAAGCUAGAGAUGAGGUGGCUGCGGGUUUUGAGUCAUUGUUCCCUAUAGUAACUGUAAAUAAAAACGUAGCCUGGAUUAAUUAUAUAUAUUAUAAUCAACAAAGAUUUGUUAAUGAUACCAAAGAUGCUCUUAAAGGUAUAGCUGAACAGCUAGAAGCCACUUCCCAAAUGACAUUCCAAAAUAGAAUGGCCCUUGACAUGAUCCUAGCAGAAAAAGGCGGUACAUGUGUUUACAUUAGUAAGGUGGAAGGCUGUUGUACAUAUAUUCCUGACAACACUGGUCCCAAUGGUAAGGUUACUUUAGCCAUAAACAAGUUAGAAACCUUAUCCAUAGAACUUAAGAAAAAUUCAGGUAUUGAUAACCCAUGGAGCCAAUAUUUUGGGUGGUUUGAAAAUUGGAAACAGGCUCUUGUGCAAAUAAGCAUAUUUAUACUCAUAACUUUAAUUCUUUUAGGCAUUAUAGUUUAUUGUAUAAUUCCCUGUGGAAAGAAACUUACCUCCAAAGGCAUUGAUAAGGCCCUGAUGUAUUAUGAUAUAACCACCAGUCCUGUCACCUCCUCUGAUAGUGAGGGACCCGACGAUUAUGUCCAAUAUCUCAAGAACUGGAGAAACAAGAAAGGAGCCUCACUCAAGAAUCAUGUCAUAUAAUAAUCAUGAUUCUAAGAGGGGAUUGAAGGGUUACCUCUUCUGUCUUUGUACAUAUUACUUUUUAUAUGAUCAGUUUUGUUAUGGUGGUUACAGUGUAAAAGUGAAUAUUUCUACCUCCCUAAUGAAGGGUUAAAACAUGCUUUAUGAACUCUUAUGUGUUUGCAAUGGAUGCGUGCUGCCCUGUGUUAGAUGCCUUUGUCUCUCAUACAGAUACCAGGCUUGUGUGGGUCUGGCAUCCAAGGUCAGCUCUAUACUAGAUGAAACCUGCUUUUUCUACUUCUGUGUGUUACUAAAAGAUCCUUUGUUAAGUUCCGUCUGAUGCAACGUAUAUAACAUCUGCCUAGCAACUGCUAUAUCCAAUUAUGUUAUGUCAAGUAUUAACCACCCCUACGUACCCCACCCAGGCACCUACCCCUAAGCCAAUGAGCCCUUUUACACUUAUCAGUUACACCCUUAUGUGUUCUCUUGUUAUACCAAUGUUAAACAUUCAAUAAAACAGUGUGAAUUCUUA
Molecule: long non-coding RNA, 2442 nt
Organism: Pseudophryne corroboree (corroboree frog)
Lineage: Eukaryota; Metazoa; Chordata; Amphibia; Anura; Myobatrachidae
Exons: 2
Source: RefSeq, a predicted model, not a curated record